GGAGAUAUAGCUCAGUUGGUAGAGUGCUUGCCUUAUAUGCCUAGGCGCUGGGUUCAAUCCCCAGUAUCACCA
Molecule: transfer RNA, 72 nt
Filed under: Marmota marmota marmota (Alpine marmot)
Lineage: Eukaryota; Metazoa; Chordata; Mammalia; Rodentia; Sciuridae
Also listed under: 1 other name
Rfam family: tRNA
About the family: Transfer RNA (tRNA) molecules are approximately 80 nucleotides in length. Their secondary structure includes four short double-helical elements and three loops (D, anti-codon, and T loops).
Source: Rfam by way of RNAcentral